GCCUGGGUGGCUUAGUUGGUUAAAUGCCUGACUUCAACUCAGGUCGUGAUUCCACAGUUUGUGAGUUCAAGCCCCACUUCAGGCU
This 85-nucleotide transfer RNA is filed under the name Felis catus (domestic cat). It matches the Rfam family "tRNA". From Rfam's summary of the family: Transfer RNA (tRNA) molecules are approximately 80 nucleotides in length. Their secondary structure includes four short double-helical elements and three loops (D, anti-codon, and T loops). Lineage: Eukaryota; Metazoa; Chordata; Mammalia; Carnivora; Felidae. The record is from Rfam by way of RNAcentral.